RNAcentral lists this ribosomal RNA (301 nucleotides) under uncultured bacterium. RNAcentral's name for it is "partial 16S ribosomal RNA". It matches the Rfam family "Bacterial small subunit ribosomal RNA", at positions 509 to 807 of the family's 1533-position model. The record is from RNAcentral.
CAGUCGCCGCGGGAAUACGAAGGGGGCUAGCGUUGUUCGGAUUUACUGGGCGUAAAGCGCACGUAGGCGGACUUUUAAGUCAGGGGUGAAAUCCCGGGGCUCAACCCCGGAACUGCCUUUGAUACUGGAAGUCUUGAGUAUGGUAGAGGUGAGUGGAAUUCCGAGUGUAGAGGUGAAAUUCGUAGAUAUUCGGAGGAACACCAGUGGCGAAGGCGGCUCACUGGACCAUUACUGACGCUGAGGUGCGAAAGCGUGGGGAGCAAACAGGAUUAGAGACCCCCGUAGUCCCUGUCUCUUAUAC